Molecule: ribosomal RNA, 487 nt
Filed under: uncultured bacterium
Lineage: Bacteria
Description: bacterial SSU rRNA
Rfam family: Bacterial small subunit ribosomal RNA
Source: RNAcentral
AACGAACGCUGGCGGCGCGCCUAAUACAUGCAAGUCGAACGAGAAGCUGUAGCAAUACAGUUGUACAGUGGCGAACGGGUGAGGAAUACAUGGGUGACCUACCCUCGAGUGGGGAAUAACCAGCCGAAAGGUUGGCUAAUACCGCGUACGCUUCCCAGUCUACGGGUUGGGAAGGAAAGCGAUGCCGUGGGUAUCGCGCUCAAGGUUGGGCUCAUGUCCUAUCAGCUUGNGGUGGGGUAACGGCUCACCAAGGCAACGACGGGUAGCUGGUCUGAGAGGACGAUCAGCCACACUGGCACUGCGACACGGGCCAGACUCCUACGGGAGGCAGCAGUAAGGAAUAUUGCGCAAUGGGCGAAAGCCUGACGCAGCGACGCCGCGUGGGGGAUGAAGGUCUUCGGAUUGUAAACCCCUUUCGGGAGGGAAGAUGGAACGAGCAAUCGUUCGGACGGUACCUCCAGAAGCAGCCACGGCUAACUUCGUGCCA